This 69-nucleotide non-coding RNA is filed under the name Absicoccus porci. RNAcentral describes it as "Glycine riboswitch". It matches the Rfam family "Glycine riboswitch aptamer". Rfam says of the family: This family represents the bacterial glycine riboswitch. Glycine riboswitches usually consist of two metabolite-binding aptamers domains with similar structures in tandem. The record is from RNAcentral. Lineage: Bacteria; Bacillati; Bacillota; Erysipelotrichia; Erysipelotrichales; Erysipelotrichaceae.
ACGAACCUCUGGAGAGAUCCGUAUGGACACCGAAGGAGCAAAACUCUCAGGUAAAAGGACAGAGGAGAU